This 329-nucleotide unclassified non-coding RNA is filed under the name uncultured Mucor. RNAcentral's name for it is "sequence contains ITS1". The stretch from base 1 to 104 matches the Rfam family "5.8S ribosomal RNA", at positions 50 to 154 of the family's 154-position model. The record is from RNAcentral. Lineage: Eukaryota; Fungi; Mucoromycota; Mucoromycetes; Mucorales; Mucoraceae.
AAAGUGCGAUAACUAGUGUGAAUUGCAUAUUCAGUGAAUCAUCGAGUCUUUGAACGCAACUUGCGCUCAUUGGUAUUCCAAUGAGCACGCCUGUUUCAGUAUCAAAACAAACCCUCUAUCCAACUUUUGUUGAAUAGGAUGACUGAGAGUCUCUUGAUCUAUUCUGAUCUUGAACCUCUUGAAAUGUACAAAGGCCUGAUCUUGUUUGAAUGCCUGAACUUUUUUUUAAUAUAAAGAGAAGCUCUUGCGAUAAAACUGUGCUGGGGCCUCCCAAAUAACACAUCUUUAAAUUUGAUCUGAAAUCAGGUGGGAUUACCCGCUGAACUUAA